Molecule: ribosomal RNA, 253 nt
Filed under: uncultured bacterium
Lineage: Bacteria
Description: partial 16S ribosomal RNA
Rfam family: Bacterial small subunit ribosomal RNA
Source: RNAcentral
UACGUAGGGGGCAAGCGUUAUCCGGAUUUACUGGGUGUAAAGGGGGCGCAGACGGCGAUGCAAGCCAGGAGUGAAAGCCCGGGGCCCAACCCCGGGACUGCUCUUGGAACUGCGUCGCUGGAGUACGGGAGGGGCAGGCGGAAUUCCUGGUGUAGCGGUGAAAUGCGUAGAUAUCAGGAGGAACACCGGCGGCGAAGGAGGCCUGCUGGACCGUGACUGACGUUGAGGCUCGAGAGCGUGGGGAGCAAACAGG